Molecule: ribosomal RNA, 250 nt
Filed under: uncultured bacterium
Lineage: Bacteria
Description: partial 16S ribosomal RNA
Rfam family: Bacterial small subunit ribosomal RNA
Source: RNAcentral
UACGGGGGGCAAGCGUUGUUCGGAAUUACUGGGCGUAAAGGGCUCGUAGGCGGCCAACUAAGUCAGACGUGAAAUCCCUCGGCUUAACCGGGAACUGCGUCUGAUACUGGAUGGCUUGAGAUUGGGAGAGGGAUGCGGAAUUCCAAGGUGGUAGCGGUGAAAUGCGUAGAGAUCCGGAGGAACACCGACGGCGUAGGCAGCGCCCUGGACGACACCUGACGCUGAGGCACGAAAGCUGGGGAGCGAACAG